Molecule: non-coding RNA, 110 nt
Organism: Phyllosticta citrichinensis
Lineage: Eukaryota; Fungi; Ascomycota; Dothideomycetes; Botryosphaeriales; Phyllostictaceae
Source: the annotation of a GenBank genome assembly
GGCGCUGUGGCUGAGUGGUUAUAGCGAUAGACUAGAACUUGAACCUCCGUCGGAGAAUCGUACCUAAUCUAUUUCCUUCGGGAGCGCAGGUUCGAAUCCUGCCGGCGUCG